GUCAUAUGCUUGUCUCAAAGAUUAAGCCAUGCAUGUCUCAGUACAAGCCAAAUUAAGGUGAAACCGCGAAAGGCUCAUUAAAUCAGUUAUGGUUCCUUAGAUCGUACCCACAAUUACUUGGAUAACUGUGGUAAUUCUAGAGCUAAUACAUGCAAACAGAGCCCCGACCGGAGACGGAAGGAGUGCUUUUAUUAGAUCAAAACCAAUCGGUGGCGGGUUCGCUCGUCAUCGUACAACUUGGUGACUCUGAAUAACUUUACGCUGAUCGCACGGUCAUCGCACCGGCGACGCAUCUUUCAAAUGUCUGCCUUAUCAACUGUCGAUGGUAGGUUCUGCGCCUACCAUGGUUGUAACGGGUAACGGGGAAUCAGGGUUCGAUUCCGGAGAGGGAGCCUGAGAAACGGCUACCACAUCCAAGGAAGGCAGCAGGCGCGCAAAUUACCCACUCCCGGCACGGGGAGGUAGUGACGAAAAAUAACGAUACGGGACUCAUCCGAGGCCCCGUAAUCGGAAUGAGUACACUCUAAACCCUUUAACGAGGAUCAAUUGGAGGGCAAGUCUGGUGCCAGCAGCCGCGGUAAUUCCAGCUCCAAUAGCGUAUAUUAAAGUUGUUGCGGUUAAAAAGCUCGUAGUCGAAUUUGUGUCUCGCGCCGCCGGUUCAUCGUCCGCGGUGUUAACUGGCGAGUCGCGAGACGUCCUGCCGGUGGGCUUAGCUCGCGAGGGCGGCCCAACUCAAUCCUGCCGCGGUGCUCUUCAUUGAGUGUCGAGGUGGGCCGGCACGUUUACUUUGAACAAAUUAGAGUGCUUAAAGCAGGCUAAAACUUCGCCUGAAUACUGUGUGCAUGGAAUAAUGGAAUAGGACCUCGGUUCUAUUUUGUUGGUUUUCGGAACCCCGAGGUAAUGAUUAAUAGGAACGGAUGGGGGCAUUCGUAUUGCGACGUUAGAGGUGAAAUUCUUGGAUCGUCGC
RNAcentral lists this ribosomal RNA (967 nucleotides) under Trigonopterus sp. 875 AR-2022a. Its description in RNAcentral is "SSU rRNA". It matches the Rfam family "Eukaryotic small subunit ribosomal RNA", at positions 23 to 931 of the family's 1831-position model. The record is from RNAcentral. Lineage: Eukaryota; Metazoa; Arthropoda; Insecta; Coleoptera; Curculionidae.